GACGAACGCUGGCGGCGUGCUUAACACAUGCAAGUCGAACGGAAAGGCCCUGCUUUUGUGGGGUGCUCGAGUGGCGAACGGGUGAGUAACACGUGAGUAACCUGCCCUUGACUUUGGGAUAACUUCAGGAAACUGGGGCUAAUACCGGAUAGGAGCUCCUGCUGCAUGGUGGGGGUUGGAAAGUUUCGGCGGUUGGGGAUGGACUCGCGGCUUAUCAGCUUGUUGGUGGGGUAGUGGCUUACCAAGGCUUUGACGGGUAGCCGGCCUGAGAGGGUGACCGGCCACAUUGGGACUGAGAUACGGCCCAGACUCCUACGGGAGGCAGCAGUGGGGAAUAUUGCACAAUGGGCGGAAGCCUGAUGCAGCAACGCCGCGUGCGGGAUGACGGCCUUCGGGUUGUAAACCGCUUUCGCCUGUGACGAAGCGUGAGUGACGGUAAUGGGUAAAGAAGCACCGGCUAACUACGUGCCAGCAGCCGCGGUGAUACGUAGGGUGCGAGCGUUGUCCGGAUUUAUUGGGCAUAAAGGGCUCGUAGGUGGUUGAUCGCGUCGGAAGUGUAAUCUUGGGGCUUAACCCUGAGCGUGCUUUCGAUACGGGUUGACUUGAGGAAGGUAGGGGAGAAUGGAAUUCCUGGUGGAGCGGUGGAAUGCGCAGAUAUCAGGAGGAACACCAGUGGCGAAGGCGGUUCUCUGGGCCUUUCCUGACGCUGAGGAGCGAAAGCGUGGGGAGCGAACAGGCUUAGAUACCCUGGUAGUCCACGCUGUAAACGGUGGGUACUAGGUGUGGGGUCCAUUCCACGGGUUCCGUGCCGUAGCUAACGCUUUAAGUACCCCGCCUGGGGAGUACGGCCGCAAGGCUAAAACUCAAAGGAAUUGACGGGGCCCCGCACAAGCGGCGGAGCAUGCGGAUUAAUUCGAUGCAACGCGUAGAACCUUACCUGGGUUUGACAUGGAUCGGGAGUGCUCAGAGAUGGGUGUGCCUCUUUUGGGGUCGGUUCACAGGUGGUGCAUGGCUGUCGUCAGCUCGUGUCGUGAGAUGUUGGGUUAAGUCCCGCAACGAGCGCAACCCUUGUUCACUGUUGCCAGCACGUUAUGGUGGGGACUCAGUGGAGACCGCCGGGGUCAACUCGGAGGAAGGUGGGGAUGACGUCAAGUCAUCAUGCCCCUUAUGUCCAGGGCUUCACGCAUGCUACAAUGGCUGGUACAGAGAGUGGCGAGCCUGUGAGGGUGAGCGAAUCUCGGAAAGCCGGUCUCAGUUCGGAUUGGGGUCUGCAACUCGACCUCAUGAAGUCGGAGUCGCUAGUAAUCGCAGAUCAGCAACGCUGCGGUGAAUACGUUCCCGGGGCU
RNAcentral lists this ribosomal RNA (1346 nucleotides) under uncultured bacterium. Its description in RNAcentral is "partial 16S ribosomal RNA". It matches the Rfam family "Bacterial small subunit ribosomal RNA", at positions 28 to 1381 of the family's 1533-position model. The record is from RNAcentral.